Molecule: ribosomal RNA, 642 nt
Filed under: uncultured archaeon
Lineage: Archaea
Description: bacterial SSU rRNA
Rfam family: Archaeal small subunit ribosomal RNA
Source: RNAcentral
GGUUGAUCCUGCCGGACCCGACUGCUAUCAGAGUGGGACUAAGCCAUGCGAGUCAACGUAGAAAUACGUGGCAUACGGCUCAGUAACACGUAGUCAACAUGCCCAGGGGACGUGGAUAACCUCGGGAAACUGAGGAUAAACCGCGAUAGGCCAUGAUUUCUGGAAUGGUUCAUGGCCGAAAUCUAUAUGGCCCCUGGAUUGGACUGCGGCCGAUCAGGCUGUUGGUGAGGUAAUGGCCCACCAAACCUGUAACCGGUACGGGCUCUGAGAGGAGGAGCCCGGAGAUGGGCACUGAGACAAGGGCCCAGGCCCUAUGGGGCGCAGCAGGCGCGAAAUCUCUGCAAUAGGCGAAAGCUUGACAGGGUUACUCUGAGUGGUUCCCGUUAAGGGGAUCUUUUGGCACCUUUAAAAAUGGUGCAGAAUAAGGGGUGGGCAAGUCUGGUGUCAGCCGCCGCGGUAAUACCAGCACCCCGAGUGGUCGGGACGGAUUAUAGCACCUAAAGCAUCCGUAGCCGGUACUGCAAGUCUUCCGUUAAAUCCACCUGCUUAACAGUUGGGCUGCGGGGGAUACUACAGCGCUAGGAGGCGGGAGAGGCAAGCGGUACUCAAUGGGUAGGGGUAAAAUCCGCUGAUCCAUUGAAG